Molecule: ribosomal RNA, 525 nt
Filed under: uncultured bacterium
Lineage: Bacteria
Description: partial 16S ribosomal RNA
Rfam family: Bacterial small subunit ribosomal RNA
Source: RNAcentral
UGGGGAAUAUUGCACAAUGGGCGGAAAGCCUGAUGCAGCAACGCCGCGUGAGUGAUGAAGGCCUUCGGGUUGUAAAGCUCUGUCUUUUGGGACGAUAAUGACGGUACCAAAGGAGGAAGCCACGGCUAACUACGUGCCAGCAGCCGCGGUAAUACGUAGUUGGCAAGCGUUGUCCGGAUUUACUGGGCGUAAAGGAUGCGUAGGCGGAUUUUUAAGUGAGAUGUGAAAUACCCGGGCUUAACUUGGGUGCUGCAUUUCAAACUGGGAAUCUAGAGUGCGGGAGAGGAAAAUGGAAUUCCUAGUGUAGCGGUGAAAUGCGUAGAGAUUAGGAAGAACACCAGUGGCGAAGGCGAUUCUCUGGACCGUAACUGACGCUGAGGCAUGAAAGCGUGGGUAGCAAACAGGAUUAGAUACCCUGGUAGUCCACGCCGUAAACGAUGAGUACUAGGUGUAGGAGGUAUCGACCCCUUCUGUGCCGCAGUUAACACAAUAAGUACUCCGCCUGGGAAGUACGAUCGCAAGAUU